Molecule: ribosomal RNA, 253 nt
Filed under: uncultured bacterium
Lineage: Bacteria
Description: partial 16S ribosomal RNA
Rfam family: Bacterial small subunit ribosomal RNA
Source: RNAcentral
UACGGGGGGGGCAAGCGUUGUUCGGAAUUACUGGGCGUAAAGGGCUCGUAGGCGGCCAACUAAGUCAGACGUGAAAUCCCUCGGCUUAACCGGGGAACUGCGUCUGAUACUGGAUGGCUUGAGUUUGGGAGAGGGAUGCGGAAUUCCAGGUGUAGCGGUGAAAUUCGUAGAUAUCAGGAGGAACACCGGUGGCGAAGGCGGCUUUCUGGACACUUACUGACGCUGAGACGCGAAAGCGUGGGGAGCAAACAGG